RNAcentral lists this ribosomal RNA (497 nucleotides) under uncultured bacterium. RNAcentral's name for it is "partial 16S ribosomal RNA". It matches the Rfam family "Bacterial small subunit ribosomal RNA", at positions 28 to 507 of the family's 1533-position model. The record is from RNAcentral.
GAUGAACGCUGGCGGCGUGCCUAAUACAUGCAAGUCGAGCGCACGGACGCGACGCUUGCUUCUCUGAUGUUAGCGGCGGACGGGUGAGUAACACGUGGAUAACCUACCUAUCAGACUGGGAUAACUUCGGGAAACCGGAGCUAAUACCGGAUAAUAUUUUGAACCGCAUGGUUCAAAAGUGAAAGACGGUCUUGCUGUCACUUAUAGAUGGAUCCGCGCUGCAUUAGCUAGUUGGUAAGGUAACGGCUUACCAAGGCAACGAUGCAUAGCCGACCUGAGAGGGUGAUAGGCCACACUGGAACUGAGACACGGUCCAGACUCCUACGGGAGGCAGCAGUAGGGAAUCUUCCGCAAUGGGAGAAAGCCUGACGGAGCGACGCCGCGUGAGUGAUGAAGGUCUGCGGAUCGUAAAACUCUGUUACUAGGGAAGAAAAUAUGUGGAAGUAACUGUGCACAUCUUGACGGUACCUAAUCAGAAAGCCACGGCUAACUACGUG